RNAcentral lists this ribosomal RNA (403 nucleotides) under Fusobacteriota bacterium. Its description in RNAcentral is "Fusobacteria bacterium partial 16S ribosomal RNA". It matches the Rfam family "Bacterial small subunit ribosomal RNA", at positions 355 to 776 of the family's 1533-position model. Lineage: Bacteria; Fusobacteriati; Fusobacteriota. The record is from RNAcentral.
UGGGGAAUAUUGCACAAUGGUGGGAACUCUGAUGCAGCGACGCCGCGUGAACGAAGAAGGCUUUCGAGUCGUAAAGUUCUUUUAUAUGGGAAGAUAAUGACGGUACCAUAAGAAAAAGCCCCGGCUAACUACGUGCCAGCAGCCGCCGUAAUACGUAGGGGGCUAGCGUUGUCCGGAAUCACUGGGCGUAAAGGGUUCGCAGGCGGAAAUGCAAGUCAGGUGUAAAAGGCAGUAGCUUAACUACUGUAAGCAUUUGAAACUGCAUAUCUUGAGAAGAGUAGAGGUAAGUGGAAUUUUUAGUGUAGCGGUGAACUGCGUAGAUAUUAAAAAGAAUACCGGUGGCGAAGGCGACUUACUGGGCUCAUUCUGACGCUGAGGAACGAAAGCGUGGGUAGCAAACAGG